This 489-nucleotide ribosomal RNA is filed under the name Selenomonas sp. oral taxon 442. Its description in RNAcentral is "bacterial SSU rRNA". It matches the Rfam family "Bacterial small subunit ribosomal RNA", at positions 28 to 497 of the family's 1533-position model. The record is from RNAcentral. Lineage: Bacteria; Bacillati; Bacillota; Negativicutes; Selenomonadales; Selenomonadaceae.
GACGAACGCUGGCGGCGUGCUUACACAUGCAGUCGAACGGGAACCUUUAUUCGGUAAAGGUGAGAGUGGCAAACGGGUGAGUAACACGUAGGCAACCUGCCGACAGGAUGGGGACAACAUUCCGAAAGGAAUGCUAAUACCGAAUGAAGUCGAGGGAAGGCAUCUUCCCUUGAUGAAAGAUGGCCUCUGAAUAUGCUAUCACCUGUCGAUGGGCCUGCGUCUGAUUAGCCAGUUGGCGGGGUAACGGCCCACCAAAGCGACGAUCAGUAGCCGGUCUGAGAGGAUGAACGGCCACAUUGGGACUGAGACACGGCCCAGACUCCUACGGGAGGCAGCAGUGGGGAAUCUUCCACAAUGGGCGAAAGCCUGAUGGAGCAACGCCGCGUGAGUGAAGAAGGUCUUCGGAUCGUAAAGCUCUGUUGUACGGGACGAAAACCGGGUUUGAGAAUAUUGAACCCGGGUGACGGUACCGUACGAGGAAGCCACGGC